RNAcentral lists this ribosomal RNA (253 nucleotides) under uncultured bacterium. Its description in RNAcentral is "partial 16S ribosomal RNA". It matches the Rfam family "Bacterial small subunit ribosomal RNA", at positions 524 to 776 of the family's 1533-position model. The record is from RNAcentral.
UCCGUAGGUGGCAAGAGUUGUCCGGAUUUACUGGGUGUAAAGGGCGUGUAGGCGGGGAAGCAAGUCAGAUGUGAAAUCCCAGGGCUUAACUCUGGAGCUGCAUCUGAAACUGUUUUUCUUGAGUGCUGGAGAGGAAAGUGGAAUUCCCAGUGUAGCGGUGAAAUGCGUAGAGAUUGGGAGGAACACCAGUGGCGAAGGCGGCUUUCUGGACAGUAACUGACGCUGAGGCGCGAAAGCGUGGGGAGAAAACAGG